Molecule: ribosomal RNA, 252 nt
Filed under: uncultured bacterium
Lineage: Bacteria
Description: partial 16S ribosomal RNA
Rfam family: Bacterial small subunit ribosomal RNA
Source: RNAcentral
UACGAAGGGGGCUAGCGUUGCUCGGAAUCACUGGGCGUAAAGGGUGCGUAGGCGGGUCUUUAAGUCAGGGGUGAAAUCCUGGAGCUCAACUCCAGAACUGCCUUUGAUACUGAGGAUCUUGAGUUCGGGAGAGGUGAGUGGAACUGCGAGUGUAGAGGUGAAAUUCGUAGAUAUUCGCAAGAACACCAGUGGCGAAGGCGGCUCACUGGCCCGAUACUGACGCUGAGGUGCGAAAGCGUGGGAGCAAACAGG